UAGCAUAUCAAUAAGCGGAGGAAAAGAAACCAACAGGGAUUGCCCUAGUAACGGCGAGUGAAGCGGCAAUAGCUCAAAUUUGAAAUCUGGCCUUCGGGUCCGAGUUGUAAUUUGUAGAGGAUGCUUUUGGUGCGGUGCCUUCCGAGUUCCCUGGAACGGGACGCCUUAGAGGGUGAGAGCCCCGUACGGUUGGACACUAAGCCUCUGUAAAGCUCCUUCGACGAGUCGAGUAGUUUGGGAAUGCUGCUCUAAAUGGGAGGUAAAUUUCUUCUAAAGCUAAAUAUUGGCCAGAGACCGAUAGCGCACAAGUAGAGUGAUCGAAAGAUGAAAAGCACUUUGAAAAGAGGGUUAAAUAGCACGUGAAAUUGUUGAAAGGGAAGCGUUUGCGACCAGACCUUUUCCUGGCGGAUCAUCCGGUGUUCUCACCGGUGCACUUCGCCAGGUUUAGGCCAGCAUCGGUUUCCGCAGAGGGAUAAAAGCUCUGGGAACGUAGCUCCUUCGGGAGUGUUAUAGCCCUCUGCAUAAUACCUUUGUGGGGACCGAGGACCGCGCUUCGGCAAGGAUGCUGGCGUAAUGGUCGUCAACGACCCGUCUUGAAACACGGACCAAGGAGUCGAACAUUUGUGCGAGUGUUUGGGUGUUAAACCCUCACGCGUAAUGAAAGUGAACGGAGGUGAGAGCCUUUACGGGUGCAUCAUCGACCGAUCCUGAUGUCUUCGGAUGGAUUUGAGUAAGAGCAUAACUGUUCGGACCCGAAAGAUGGUGAACUAUGCGUGGAUAGGGUGAAGCCAGAGGAAACUCUGGUGGAGGCUCGCAGCGGUUCUGACGUGCAAAUCGAUCGUCAAAUCUGCGCAUGGGGGCGAAAGACUUAUCGAACCAUCUAGUAGCUGGUUACCGCCGA
This 901-nucleotide ribosomal RNA is filed under the name Xylaria feejeensis. Its description in RNAcentral is "partial large subunit ribosomal RNA". It matches the Rfam family "Eukaryotic large subunit ribosomal RNA", at positions 36 to 964 of the family's 3401-position model. Lineage: Eukaryota; Fungi; Ascomycota; Sordariomycetes; Xylariales; Xylariaceae. The record is from RNAcentral.